Molecule: ribosomal RNA, 243 nt
Filed under: Clostridioides difficile
Lineage: Bacteria; Bacillati; Bacillota; Clostridia; Peptostreptococcales; Peptostreptococcaceae
Description: partial 23S ribosomal RNA
Rfam family: Bacterial large subunit ribosomal RNA
Source: RNAcentral
GGGAUGACACAGUAGGAUAAGCUAAGCACACUGUUGGGUAUGUGUGCCCAAGCAUUGAGGCAGUCAAAGUAGGCAAAUCCGCUUUGAUAAUGCUGGGAUGUGAUGGGGAGCGAAAGUUAGUAGCGAAGUAGCUGAUUUCACACUGUCAAGAAAAGUCUCUAUCGAGGUUAAAGGUACCCGUACCGCAAACCGACACAGGUGGGUGAGGAGAGUAUCCUAAGGCUAGCGAGAGAACUGUUGUUA